CCUACGGGAGGCAGCAGUAGGGAAUAUUGCUCAAUGGGGGAAACCCUGAAGCAGCAACGCCGCGUGGAGGAUGAAGGUUUUCGGAUUGUAAACUCCUUUUGUUAGAGAAGAUAAUGACGGUAUCUAACGAAUAAGCACCGGCUAACUCCGUGCCAGCAGCCGCGGUAAUACGGAGGAUGCGAGCGUUAUCCGGAUUUAUUGGGUUUAAAGGGUGCGUAGGCGGAGUGUCAAGUCAGCGGUAAAAUUUCGGGGCUCAACCCCGUCGUGCCGUUGAAACUGACACCCUUGAGUGAGUGAGAAGUAAGCGGAAUGCGUGGUGUAGCGGUGAAAUGCAUAGAUAUCACGCAGAACGCCGAUUGCGAAGGCAGCUUACCGGCGCUCAACUGACGCUGAGGCACGAAAGUGCGGGUAUCGAACAGGAUUAGAUACCCUUGUAGUC
RNAcentral lists this ribosomal RNA (439 nucleotides) under uncultured bacterium. Its description in RNAcentral is "partial 16S ribosomal RNA". It matches the Rfam family "Bacterial small subunit ribosomal RNA", at positions 338 to 795 of the family's 1533-position model. The record is from RNAcentral.